Molecule: ribosomal RNA, 463 nt
Filed under: uncultured eukaryote
Lineage: Eukaryota
Description: bacterial SSU rRNA
Rfam family: Eukaryotic small subunit ribosomal RNA
Source: RNAcentral
UUAAACCCCUUAACGAGUAACCAUCAGAGGGCAAGUCUGGUGCCAGCAGCCGCGGUAAUUCCAGCUCUGAUAGCGUAUAUUAAAGUUGUUGCAGUUAAAAAGCUCGUAGUUGGAUUUUAGAGUGUAUUGAUACGGUCUCUUGUGAUAAACUUGUUGUACUGUAUUAAUUACUCUUUCCUACUGGUUACUCGACUCUGUUCUUUAUUGCAUGGAGUAGUGUCGCAAGGCAUCGCUUAGUAUUUUAUUGCUUUUAGAUGUAGUAAUUGGGUAAAAACUGGUUUGCGAAACCUAAGGGAUCACAGUAAAGUAUUAAGUGGGGUUCCAGUUCAUUUACUUUGAGUAAAUUAGAGUGUUCAAAGCAGCCUGUAUGGGCAUUGAAUAGAUUAGCAUGGGAUAAUAGAAUAGGAUUCUUGUCUAUUUAUUGGUUUAUAGGUUUAGAAUAAUGAUUAAUAGGGAUAGUUGG